This 369-nucleotide long non-coding RNA is filed under the name Zonotrichia albicollis (white-throated sparrow). RNAcentral's name for it is "lncRNA (ENSZALG00000004170.1)". Lineage: Eukaryota; Metazoa; Chordata; Aves; Passeriformes; Passerellidae. The record is from RNAcentral.
AUUUGUUAUCUACUCUACAGGCAUGCUGUGAUCUUUAUUUUCCUUUCAACCUCAGCCACCAUCGAGCCUAAUAAGAACUGGCAUUAUGUUGAGUUUUUCUAAAAUGAUAUUGGGGUUGAGGCUUAUGUUUAGGGAUGACAGUAAAACCCAGCCAAAGCUAUGUUCUGAAAAAGCUCAGGAAGGCACAACAUGGAUGAGAGGAGUUCAGGGCUGCAGGAGAAGAAAUUCUUCGGCUGCCUGGUAGCAAAACUUGGUGUGAAGGACUCGAGGACUUGCAGGGGGAACAUUUCAUGGCAGGAGCUCACUGGUGGCAUUUCCAGAGCAAUGUGCCUUGAAACUCAUGAAGCAAAGAGGACAUUUAUGAAGUGA